UGGGGAAUAUUGCACAAUGGGCGGAAGCCUGAUGCAGCGACGCCGCGUGGGGGAUGAAGGCCUUCGGGUUGUAAACUCCUUUCGACAGGGACGAAGCUUUUGUGACGGUACCUGUGUAAGAAGCACCGGCUAACUACGUGCCAGCAGCCGCGGUAAUACGUAGGGUGCGAGCGUUGUCCGGAAUUACUGGGCGUAAAGAGCUCGUAGGUGGUUUGUCGCGUCGUCUGUGAAAUUCCGGGGCUUAACUCCGGGCGUGCAGGCGAUACGGGCUGACUUGAGUGCUGUAGGGGAGACUGGAAUUCCUGGUGUAGCGGUGAAAUGCGCAGAUAUCAGGAGGAACACCGAUGGCGAAGGCAGGUCUCUGGGCAGUAACUGACGCUGAGGAGCGAAAGCAUGGGUAGCGAACAGGAUUAGAUACCCUGGUAGUCCAUGCCGUAAACGGUGGGCGCUAGGUGUAGGGGGCUUCCACGUCUUCUGUGCCGUAGCUAACGCAUUAAGCGCCCCGCCUGGGGAGUACGGCCGCAAGGCUA
RNAcentral lists this ribosomal RNA (530 nucleotides) under uncultured bacterium. Its description in RNAcentral is "bacterial SSU rRNA". It matches the Rfam family "Bacterial small subunit ribosomal RNA", at positions 355 to 896 of the family's 1533-position model. The record is from RNAcentral.